GAUGAACGCUGGCGGCGUGCCUAAUACAUGCAAGUCGAGCGAACAGAUGAGGAGCUUGCUCCUCUGACGUUAGCGGCGGACGGGUGAGUAACACGUGGAUAACCUACCUAUAAGACUGGGAUAACUUCGGGAAACCGGGGCUAAUACCGGAAAAUAUAUUGAACCGCAUGGUUCAAUAGUGAAAUACGGUUGUGCGGUCACUUAUAGAUGGAUCAGCGCCGCAUUAGCUAGUUUGUAAGGGAACGGCUUACCAAGGCCACGAGGCGUAGCCCACCUGAGAGCGUGAUUAGACACAGUGGCACUGAGACACGCUCAAGACUCCUACGGGAGGCAGUAGUAGGGAAUCUUACGAAAUGGGCGAAAGUGUGACGGAGACGCGUCGCCUGAGUGAUGAAGGUCUUAGGAACGUACACAUCUGUUAUUAGGGAAGAACAAAUGUGUACGGAACUAUGCAUGUUAUGACGGUACCCAAUCAGAAAGCCACGGCUAACCAUGUG
Molecule: ribosomal RNA, 497 nt
Filed under: uncultured bacterium
Lineage: Bacteria
Description: partial 16S ribosomal RNA
Rfam family: Bacterial small subunit ribosomal RNA
Source: RNAcentral